GAUGAACGCUGGCGGCGUGCCUAAUACAUGCAAGUCGAGCGAACGGACGAGAAGCUUGCUUCUCUGAUGUUAGCGGCGGACGGGUGAGUAACACGUGGAUAACCUACCUAUAAGACUGGGAUAACUUCGGGAAACCGGAGCUAAUACCGGAUAAUAUUUUGAGCCGCAUGGUUCAAAAGUGAAAGACGGUCUUGCUGUCACUUAUAGAUGGAUCCGCGCUGCAUUAGCUAGUUGGUAAGGUAACGGCUUACCAAGGCAACGAUGCAUAGCCGACCUGAGAGGGUGAUCAGCCACACUGGAACUGAGACACGGUCCAGACUCCUACGGGAGGCAGCAGUAGGGAAUCUUCCGCAAUGGGCGAAAGCCUGACGGAGCAACGCCGCGUGAGUGAUGAAGGUCUUCGGAUCGUAAAACUCUGUUAUUAGGGAAGAACAUAUGUGUAAGUAACUGUGCACAUCUUGACGGUACCUAAUCAGAAAGCCACGGCUAACUACGUG
This 497-nucleotide ribosomal RNA is filed under the name uncultured bacterium. RNAcentral's name for it is "partial 16S ribosomal RNA". It matches the Rfam family "Bacterial small subunit ribosomal RNA", at positions 28 to 507 of the family's 1533-position model. The record is from RNAcentral.